GUGAACGCUGGCGGUAGGCCUAACACAUGCAAGUCGCACGGCAGCACAGUAAGAGCUUGCUCUUACGGGUGGCGAGUGGCGGACGGGUGAGGAAUACAUCGGAAUCUACUUUUUCGUGGGGGAUAACGUAGGGAAACUUACGCUAAUACCGCAUACGACCUACGGGUGAAAGCAGGGGAUCUUCGGACCUUGCGCGAUUGAAUGAGCCGAUGUCGGAUUAGCUAGUUGGCGGGGUAAAGGCCCACCAAGGCGACGAUCCGUAGCUGGUCUGAGAGGAUGAUCAGCCACACCGGAACUGAGACACGGUCCAGACUCCUACGGGAGGCAGCAGUGGGGAAUAUUGGACAAUGGGCGCAAGCCUGAUCCAGCCAUACCGCGUGGGUGAAGAAGGCCUUCGGGUUGUAAAGCCCUUUUGUUGGGAAAGAAAAGCAGCAGGUUAAUACCCCGCUGUUCUGACGGUACCCAAAGAAUAAGCACCGGCUAACUUCGUG
RNAcentral lists this ribosomal RNA (491 nucleotides) under uncultured bacterium. RNAcentral's name for it is "partial 16S ribosomal RNA". It matches the Rfam family "Bacterial small subunit ribosomal RNA", at positions 29 to 507 of the family's 1533-position model. The record is from RNAcentral.